GCACAUGAAUAUACCAUUAAUGCAAUGGAUCCCAUCAGAACUCCACAGUUAAGCAUUCUUGGACUAGAUUAGUACUAGGAUGGGUGACCUCUCGAGAAGUCCUAGUGUUUUACAUGCC
Molecule: non-coding RNA, 118 nt
Organism: Picea glauca (white spruce)
Lineage: Eukaryota; Viridiplantae; Streptophyta; Pinopsida; Pinales; Pinaceae
Source: Rfam